AAAUAUUUUUAAAGGGAUGUACAUGUAAAAGUUUGUUCUAAGUAGAUGGUGUUACUGUAUCAGGGGAAAAUCAGGCAGAGAUCUGCUUUGCAUAAAGUCUCAGAGUGGACUGAAGCCCAGCAUUA
Long non-coding RNA from Gavialis gangeticus (Gharial), 125 nucleotides. RefSeq lists it as uncharacterized. The transcript has 3 exons. The record is from RefSeq and is a predicted model, not a curated record. NCBI's taxonomy places the organism in Eukaryota, Metazoa, Chordata, Crocodylia, Gavialidae.